Molecule: ribosomal RNA, 497 nt
Filed under: uncultured bacterium
Lineage: Bacteria
Description: partial 16S ribosomal RNA
Rfam family: Bacterial small subunit ribosomal RNA
Source: RNAcentral
GAUGAACGCUGGCGGCGUGCCUAAUACAUGCAAGUCGAGCGAACAGACGAGGAGCUUGCUCCUCUGACGUUAGCGGCGGACGGGUGAGUAACACGUGGAUAACCUACCUAUAAGACUGGGAUAACUUCGGGAAACCGUAUCUAAUACCGGAUAAUAUAUUGAACCGCAUGGUUCAAUAGUGAAAGACGGUUUUGCUGUCACUUAUAGAUGGAUCCGCGCCGCAUUAGCUAGUUGGUAAGGUAACGGCUUACCAAGGCAACGAUGCGUAGCCGACCUGAGAGGGUGGUCGGCCACACUGGAACUGAGACACGGUCCAGACUCCUACGGGAGGCAGCAGUAGGGAAUCUUACGCGAGGGGGGAAAGCCUGACGGAGCAACGCCGCGUGAGUGAUGAAGGUCUUCGGAUCGUAAAACUCUGUUAUUAGGGAAGAACAAAUGUGUAAGUAACUAUGCACGUCUUGACGGUACCUAAACAGAAAGCCACGGCUAACUACGUG